AGUCGAACGGUAACGCGGGGCAACCUGGCGACGAGUGGCGAACGGGUGAGUAAUGUAUCGGAACGUGCCCAGUUGUGGGGGAUAACUGCUCGAAAGAGCAGCUAAUACCGCAUACGACCUGAGGGUGAAAGCGGGGGAUCGCAAGACCUCGCGCAAUUGGAGCGGCCGAUAUCAGAUUAGGUAGUUGGUGGGGUAAAGGCUCACCAAGCCAACGAUCUGUAGCUGGUCUGAGAGGACGACCAGCCACACUGGGACUGAGACACGGCCCAGACUCCUACGGGAGGCAGCAGUGGGGAAUUUUGGACAAUGGGCGCAAGCCUGAUCCAGCCAUGCCGCGUGCGGGAAGAAGGCCUUCGGGUUGUAAACCGCUUUUGUCAGGGAAGAAAAGACUCCUGUUAAUACCGGGGGUUCAUGACGGUACCUGAAGAAUAAGCACCGGCUAACUACGUGCCAGCAGCCGCGGUAAUACGUAGGGUGCAAGCGUUAAUCGGAAUUACUGGGCGUAAAGCGUGCGCAGGCGGUUAUGCAAGACAGAUGUGAAAUCCCCGGGCUCAACCUGGGAACUGCAUUUGUGACUGCAUGGCUAGAGUACGGUAGAGGGGGAUGGAAUUCCGCGUGUAGCAGUGAAAUGCGUAGAUAUGCGGAGGAACACCGAUGGCGAAGGCAAUCCCCUGG
This 675-nucleotide ribosomal RNA is filed under the name uncultured Roseateles sp. RNAcentral describes it as "bacterial SSU rRNA". It matches the Rfam family "Bacterial small subunit ribosomal RNA", at positions 60 to 732 of the family's 1533-position model. Lineage: Bacteria; Pseudomonadati; Pseudomonadota; Betaproteobacteria; Burkholderiales; Sphaerotilaceae. The record is from RNAcentral.